This is a long non-coding RNA of Lytechinus variegatus (green sea urchin), 171 nucleotides long. RefSeq lists it as uncharacterized. The transcript has 2 exons. The record is from RefSeq and is a predicted model, not a curated record. Lineage: Eukaryota; Metazoa; Echinodermata; Echinoidea; Temnopleuroida; Toxopneustidae.
UUUUAUUGUUAGCUAGGGAGAAAGUCCAGUGACUCAUGACACUGGCAGUAGCCAGGGCAUUCCCACUGUUUGUUGUUGAGGAGGAGACUUGUCCCUACAGAAGGAAGUUUAAUUUUGAAGUAGAGAAGACUUCUGCAAGGACUUCCCUUGAUGUACAAUUUUACUUUAGAU